This 477-nucleotide ribosomal RNA is filed under the name uncultured bacterium. RNAcentral describes it as "partial 16S ribosomal RNA". It matches the Rfam family "Bacterial small subunit ribosomal RNA", at positions 30 to 507 of the family's 1533-position model. The record is from RNAcentral.
AUUGAACGCUGGCGGCAUGCCUUACACAUGCAAGUCGAACGGUAACAGGUUAAGCUGACGAGUGGCGAACGGGUGAGUAAUGUAUCGGAGCGUGCCCAGUCGUGGGGGAUAACUGCUCGAAAGAGCAGCUAAUACCGCAUACGACCUGAGGGUGAAAGCGGGGGAUCGCAAGACCUCGCGCGAUUGGAGCGGCCGAUAUCCGAUUAGGUAGUUGGUGAGGUAAAGGCUCACCAAGCCGACGAUCUGUAGCUGGUCUGAGAGGACGACCAGCCACACUGGGACUGAGACACGGCCCAGACUCCUACGGGAGGCAGCAGUGGGGAAUUUUGGACAAUGGGCGCAAGCCUGAUCCAGCCAUGCCGCGUGCGGGAAGAAGGCCUUCGGGUUGUAAACCGCUUUUGUCAGGGAAGAAAAGGUUCUGGCUAAUACCUGGGACUCAUGACGGUACCUGAAGAAUAAGCACCGGCUAACUACGUG